CAAAUCUAACUUUUGGCAAUUGUAUCUCUCAAUUUUUUUUCCCAACUUGUCAGCUAAAUUUACCUGUAAGGAAUUUAAGAUUUUAAGCACUAUAAGAUCCGAACACUGAGCCUUUAAUCUUUAAACGAUAUGCCAAUUCCAUAUAGCACUUAUCACACAAAAUAUAUGAAAGCAUAGUGCUUUAUAUGGAUCGUUGUGCACUAGAUUGAUACAUCUCAUGCUUAAGUUAAAGAAAAAGCUUGCAGACAUGGGAGGAGGGAAACUUUUUUUUUUGUACAUCUUUUUCUUUUUCCAUGUACGUUAUGUAUGUGACAUGUAUGUGUUCUGACUGUACAAUGUAGUACUCAUGUAGUUUGAAUAUCUUGUUACAAAUUAGAAUUUCCCUGUUAGACAUUGGUUCUUGAGCAAUUCUUUUCUUUAUAUUUGUUGCUUAGACAUUGAAGACUUACACACAGAAAGAGGUCUCCCUACAUAAUAAGAGAGAUGAUUGUUGGAUCAUUGUCAAAGGAAAGGUUGUAUGAUGUAGUUUGUAUUCACACUAUUUUUUCUUUAAAGUUUCAUGAUAGCAAAAUAGUCUGCUUCACAAAGCAAUAUCUUUGCUCUCUGUGUAGGUGUAUGAUGUUACUCCAUAUGUGGAGGAACAUCCAGGUGGCGAUGCUAUACUAAACAAUGCUGGAGGUGAUUCAACCGAGGGAUUUUACGGGUCUGUGCCUGUUAUGGAAAGUCAUGUUUUAUUUUUCGUAAAUAACAUGUUGUUGUAAGUUAAACUUUGAUUGGUGUUACUUUGCAGAAUGACCUUCUUUCCAGCCUUUUUUGCUUGCACUAUAAUCAUCAAAACUUUCUUUACUCCAAUUCUGAUAAUUGAAAUAUAGAAACUUUUAACAAUUUGAUGAUAUCCUACCAAUGAUUCUUUGUUAAUAUAUCUGUUACAUGUGUUACUUGCCUUGUGUUUUCAGUCAGUUGGCUCCAGGCAGCCCACAACAUGCUACUCGUGUCUUUGACAUGGUUGAUGAGUUCUACGUUGGGGACCUGAAGAGCUGAAGUUUAAGCUAUCUGAACGGCUGAUGUAUGCGAAGUCCCACCUGUAUUUUUGUCUCAAUCCAUCUGAAUAGUAGGACAAUGUCAAGCAUUGAGUGGAAUUUAUCAAAAUCAAAUAUGAGUGCAUCAUGAUCAAAUAUCAUCAAGCUGAUCACUCUUUCCCGCAAUUUAACUUUUUCGAAACUCAGGACUUCCUCUUCUCUAUUAGCUUGAGUCUUAAAAUAGAUAGGAGUUUGACAAGAUCUGGCUUAGGCUUUGCUUCAUCAUCUGUCCAUGGAACAUGCUUGUCUAUUAAUAAUUUAAUAUAUAGAAAAAUACCUUUUGAUCUAAAGCAGGCUUUUUCUGUUGGUUAAUAACCCAUAAAAGUUAUUAGUAUUUUUGUUAGGUAGAAUAAUUUAGUUAUAGCUGAAUGGUCGGGAAAUCUCAUUUUGAUGAAAUCUGAUUGACUUAUACUAUUUUUUAGAUGACAAGAAAUGUAAUACUACCUUAAUUUUAUUUUCCUUUUAAAAUUUUCACCUUGUUACUCCUGGGGUAUUUAAUUUUCUCUUUUCUGUUUCUGCAGGCCACAACAUGCUACUCGUGUCUUUGACAUGGUUGAUGAGUUCUACGUUGGGGACCUGAAGAGCUGAAGUUUAAGCUAUCUGAACUCUGAAACUUAGAAAAAUUCCGUGAGCUCCACAUCAAAUGCCUUCGAGAGUAUUGCAGGCCUAAUUCAAAAC
RNAcentral lists this long non-coding RNA (1757 nucleotides) under Phoenix dactylifera (date palm). RNAcentral's name for it is "long non-coding RNA (PDAC_LNC003210)". Lineage: Eukaryota; Viridiplantae; Streptophyta; Magnoliopsida; Arecales; Arecaceae. The record is from RNAcentral.